RNAcentral lists this ribosomal RNA (468 nucleotides) under uncultured bacterium. RNAcentral describes it as "partial 16S ribosomal RNA". It matches the Rfam family "Bacterial small subunit ribosomal RNA", at positions 28 to 507 of the family's 1533-position model. The record is from RNAcentral.
GACGAACGCUGGCGGCGUGCUUAACACAUGCAAGUCGAACGGCAAGGCCCUGCUUUUGUGGGGUGCUCGAGUGGCGAACGGGUGAGUAACACGUGAGUAACCUGCCCUUGACUUUGGGAUAACUUCAGGAAACUGGGGCUAAUACCGGAUAGGAGCUCCUGCUGCAUGGUGGGGGUUGGAAAGUUUCGGCGGUUGGGGAUGGACUCGCGGCUUAUCAGCUUGUUGGUGGGGUAGUGGCUUACCAAGGCUUUGACGGGUAGCCGGCCUGAGAGGGUGACCGGCGACAUUGGUACUGAGAUACGGCGCAGACUCCUACGGGAGGCAGCAGUGGGGAAUAUUGCACAAUGGGCGGAAGCCUGAUGCAGCGACGCCGCGUGCGGGAUGACGGCCUUCGGGUUGUAAACCGCUUUCGCCUGUGACGAAGCGUGAGUGACGGUAAUGGGUAAAGAAGCACCGGCUAACUACGUG